RNAcentral lists this ribosomal RNA (117 nucleotides) under Ruminococcus bromii. Lineage: Bacteria; Bacillati; Bacillota; Clostridia; Eubacteriales; Oscillospiraceae. RNAcentral also lists the same sequence under 2 other names. The record is from RNAcentral.
GUUGGUGUUGAUGACGCUGAGGGUCCACCUGUUCCCAUACCGAACACAGAAGUUAAGCUCAGUGGUGCCGAUGAUACUUGGCUGGCGACGGCCCGGGAAAAUAGGGAGAUGCCAACA